GACGAACGCUGGCGGCGUGCUUAACACGUGCAAGUCGAACGGAAAGGCGCUUCUAUGGUCUGCUGCUCGAGUGGCGAACGGGUGAGUAACAGGUGAGUGACCUGCACGUGACUAUGGGAUAACUUCAGGGAACUGGGGCGAAUACCGGAUAUGAGCAUCUGCUGCAUGGUGGGGGUUGGGAAGGGUCGGCGGUUGGGGAUGGACUCGCGUCGUAUCAGCUUGCGGGUGGGGUAGUGGCUUACCAAGGCUUUGACGGGUAGACGGCCUGAGAGGGUGACCUGCACCAUUGGGACGGAGAUACGGCACAGACUCCUACGGGAGGCAGCAGUGGGGUAUAGUGCAUAAUGGGCGGAAGCCAGACCCAGCAAAGCCGCGUGCCGGAUGACGGCCUUCGUGUCGUAAUCCGAUGCCGCCUCUGCCGAGGAGUGAGUGACGGUACUGGGUAAAGAAGCCCCGGCUAACUACGUG
Molecule: ribosomal RNA, 468 nt
Filed under: uncultured bacterium
Lineage: Bacteria
Description: partial 16S ribosomal RNA
Rfam family: Bacterial small subunit ribosomal RNA
Source: RNAcentral